RNAcentral lists this ribosomal RNA (433 nucleotides) under uncultured bacterium. RNAcentral's name for it is "partial 16S ribosomal RNA". It matches the Rfam family "Bacterial small subunit ribosomal RNA", at positions 29 to 507 of the family's 1533-position model. The record is from RNAcentral.
AACGAACGCUGGCGGCAGGCUUAACACAUGCAAGUCGAGCGAGACCUUCGGGUCUAGCGGCGGACGGGUGAGUAACGCGUGGGAACGUGCCCUUCUCUACGGAAUAGCCCCGGGAAACUGGGAGUAAUACCGUAUACGCCCUUUGGGGGAAAGAUUUAUCGGAGAAGGAUCGGCCCGCGUUGGAUUAGGUAGUUGGUGGGGUAAUGGCCCACCAAGCCGACGAUCCAUAGCUGGUUUGAGAGGAUGAUCAGCCACACUGGGACUGAGACACGGCCCAGACUCCUACGGGAGGAAGCAGUGGGGAAUCUUAGACAAUGGGGGCAACCCUGAUCGAGCCAUGCCGCGUGAGUGAUGAAGGCCUUAGGGUUGUAAAGCUCUUUCAGCUGGGAAGAUAAUGACGGUACCAGCAGAAGAAGCCCCGGCUAACUCCGUG